RNAcentral lists this ribosomal RNA (128 nucleotides) under Ceratobasidiaceae sp. Its description in RNAcentral is "partial large subunit ribosomal RNA". It matches the Rfam family "Eukaryotic large subunit ribosomal RNA", at positions 99 to 225 of the family's 3401-position model. Lineage: Eukaryota; Fungi; Basidiomycota; Agaricomycetes; Cantharellales; Ceratobasidiaceae. The record is from RNAcentral.
CGGGAAGAGCUCAAAUUUAAAAUCUGGCGGUGUAUUCCGUCCGAGUUGUAGUCUAGAGAAGCAUCAUCCGUGCUGGACCAUGUACAAGUCUCUUGGAACAGAGCGUCAUAGAGGGUGAGAAUCCCGUC